Molecule: long non-coding RNA, 518 nt
Organism: Juglans regia (Persian walnut)
Lineage: Eukaryota; Viridiplantae; Streptophyta; Magnoliopsida; Fagales; Juglandaceae
Exons: 3
Source: RefSeq, a predicted model, not a curated record
UAUUAGUAAUUUUUUCUUGACGCGCUCAAUCUUUUCAGGGUUGCUUCGCUCUCAGAUACGAGGCCUUGCGUAUGUGAGAACUCCAGUCUGCAAGUUCCCAAUGGCUAGAAGUUUCAUAUUUUGAAUGGCUGAAUUUCGCUGAACACUCACUGGACCAUGGUUUCUAUUCAAUUGCUGUGAAGACGAGUUUCUUUAGCAACUAGCAAGUGGGAAUAAAGGGUUAAAUAUGAGGAGGAUCUAGAAAGAAGUGCUAUAGGUCUAAUGAGGGAUUUAAGGGCCAGAUGCUGUCAAUUGAUCACUGUAAAUUCUGUCUCCAUAUCAGUUCAGACGCAGGCUGCAGAGUACUUGCCACCAAGAUUACCGGGUCGUGUAAACCCAGUAACAGAGAACAUACCUCACGGCUCAAAGUAUGAGGGUAAGUCGUUGUCGGUCAUGCAAUUUUCGUAGAUUACUCUUAUUGAUUUCAUUUCUGAAAUAGUGAAUGAUGUUUGUUGCCUUUCUUAGCGCUCUGAGUAAAA